UAGCUCAGUUGGUAGAGCGUGAGACUUUUAAUCUUAAGGUCAGGGGUUCGAGUCCCCU
Molecule: non-coding RNA, 58 nt
Organism: Caenorhabditis japonica
Lineage: Eukaryota; Metazoa; Nematoda; Chromadorea; Rhabditida; Rhabditidae
Source: Rfam